CCUACGGGAGGCAGCAGUGGGGAAUAUUGGACAAUGGGCGCAAGCCUGAUCCAGCCAUGCCGCGUGUGUGAAGAAGGCCUUUUGGUUGUAAAGCACUUUAAGCGAGGAGGAGGCUACCGAGAUUAAUACUCUUGGAUAGUGGACGUUACUCGCAGAAUAAGCACCGGCUAACUCUGUGCCAGCAGCCGCGGUAAU
Molecule: ribosomal RNA, 195 nt
Filed under: uncultured bacterium
Lineage: Bacteria
Description: partial 16S ribosomal RNA
Rfam family: Bacterial small subunit ribosomal RNA
Source: RNAcentral